Molecule: ribosomal RNA, 889 nt
Filed under: uncultured bacterium
Lineage: Bacteria
Description: bacterial SSU rRNA
Rfam family: Bacterial small subunit ribosomal RNA
Source: RNAcentral
AGAGUUUGAUCAUGGCUCAGGAUGAACGCUAGCGGCACGCUUCAUACAUGCAAGUCGAGGGGCAGCAUAAAGUACUUGUACUUUGAUGGCGACCGGCGAACGGGUGCGUAACGCGUAUGCAACUUACCUUUUACUAGAGAAUAGCCAAGAGAAAUCUUGAUUAAUGCUCUAUACACUUAUUAAUUCUCAUGAAUCUAUAAGAAAAGCUCCGGCGGUAAAAGAUGGGCAUGCGUCCUAUUAGCUUGUAGGUGAGGUAACGGCUCACCUAAGCUCCGAUAGGUAGGGGUCCUGAGAGGGAGAUCCCCCACACUGGUACUGAGACACGGACCAGACUUCUACGGAAGGCAGCAGUAAGGAAUAUUGGACAAUGGAGGCAACUCUGAUCCAGCGAUGCCGCGUGAAGGAAGACGGCCCUAUGGGUUGUAAACUUCUUUUAUACAGGAAGAAACCUUUCCACGUGUGGAAAGCUGACGGUACUGUAAGAAUAAGGAUCGGCUAACUCCGUGCCAGCAGCCGCGGUAAUACGGAGGAUCCAAGCGUUAUCCGGAAUUAUUGGGUUUAAAGGGUCCGCAGGCUGUUUGUUAAGUCAGGGGUGAAAUCCUACCGCUCAACGGUAGAACUGCCUUUGAUACUGGCAAACUUGAGUUAUUGUGAAGUAGUUAGAAUGUGUAGUGUAGCGGUGAAAUGCAUAGAUAUUACACAGAAUACCGAUUGCGAAAGCAGAUUACUAACAAUAUACUGACGCUGAGGGACGAAAGCGUGGGUAGCGAACAGGAUUAGAUACCCUGGUAGUCCACGCCGUAAACGAUGGUCACUAGCUGUUUGAUGUACAUUGGUACAUUGAGUGGCUAAGCGAAAGUGAUAAGUGACCCACCUGGGGAGUACGCUC